This 492-nucleotide ribosomal RNA is filed under the name uncultured bacterium. RNAcentral describes it as "partial 16S ribosomal RNA". It matches the Rfam family "Bacterial small subunit ribosomal RNA", at positions 29 to 507 of the family's 1533-position model. The record is from RNAcentral.
AGUGAACGCUGGCGGUAGGCCUAACACAUGCAAGUCGAACGGCAGCACAGUAAGAGCUUGCUCUUACGGGUGGCGAGUGGCGGACGUGUGAGGAAUACAUCGGAAUCUACUUUUUCGUGGGGGAUAACGUAGGGAAACUUACGCUAAUACCGCAUACGACCUACGGGUGAAAGCAGUGGAUCUUCUGACCUUGCGCGAUUGAAUGAGCCGAUGUCGGAUUAGCUAGUUGGCGGGGUAAAGGCCCACCAAGGCGACGAUCCGUAGCUGGUCUGAGAGGAUGAUCAGCCACACUGGAACUGAGACACGGUCCAGACUCCUACGGGAGGCAGCAGUGGGGAAUAUUGGACAAUGGGCGCAAGCCUGAUCCAGCCAUACCGCGUGGGUGAAGAGGGCCUUCGGGUUGUAAAGCCCUUUUGUUGGGAAAGAAAAGCAGCAGGUUAAUACCCCGCUGUUCUGACGGUACCCAAAGAAUAAGCACCGGCUAACUUCGUG